This 439-nucleotide ribosomal RNA is filed under the name uncultured bacterium. Its description in RNAcentral is "bacterial SSU rRNA". It matches the Rfam family "Bacterial small subunit ribosomal RNA", at positions 959 to 1397 of the family's 1533-position model. The record is from RNAcentral.
ACGCGCGGAACCUUACCAGGUCUUGACAUCCUCUGACACUCCUAGAGAUAGGACGUUCCCCUUCGGGGGACAGAGUGACAGGUGGUGCAUGGUUGUCGUCAGCUCGUGUCGUGAGAUGUUGGGUUAAGUCCCGCAACGAGCGCAACCCUUGUUCUUAGUUGCCAUCAUUUAGUUGGGCACUCUAAGGAGACUGCCGGUGACAAACCGGAGGAAGGUGGGGAUGACGUCAAAUCAUCAUGCCCCUUAUGACCUGGGCUACACACGUGCUACAAUGGACGGUACAAACGGUUGCCAACCCGCGAGGGGGAGCUAAUCCGAUAAAACCGUUCUCAGUUCGGAUUGUAGGCUGCAACUCGCCUACAUGAAGCCGGAAUCGCUAGUAAUCGCGGAUCAGCAUGCCGCGGUGAAUACGUUCCCGGGCCUUGCACACACCGCCCGU